AGUGAACGCUGGCGGUAGGCCUAACACAUGCAAGUCGAACGGCAGCACAGUAAGAGCUUGCUCUUACGGGUGGCGAGUGGCGGACGGGUGAGGAAUACAUCGGAAUCUACUUUUUCGUGGGGGAUAACGUAGGGAAACUUACGCUAAUACCGCAUACGACCUACGGGUGAAAGCAGGGGAUCUUCGGACCUUGCGCGAUUGAAUGAGCCGAUGUCGGAUUAGCUAGUUGGCGGGGUAAAGGCCCACCAAGGCGACGAUCCGUAGCUGGUCUGAGAGGAUGAUCAGCCACACUGGAACUGAGACACGGUCCAGACUCCUACGGGAGGCAGCAGUGGGGAAUAUUGGACAAUGGGCGCAAGCCUGACCCAGCCAUACCGCGUGGGUGAAGAAGGCCUUCGGGUUGUAAAGCCCUUUUGUUGGGAAGGAAAAGCAGCAGGUUAAUACCCCGCUGUUCUGACGGUACCCAAAGAAUAAGCACCGGCUAACUUCGUG
RNAcentral lists this ribosomal RNA (492 nucleotides) under uncultured bacterium. RNAcentral describes it as "partial 16S ribosomal RNA". It matches the Rfam family "Bacterial small subunit ribosomal RNA", at positions 29 to 507 of the family's 1533-position model. The record is from RNAcentral.